UACGAAGGGUGCAAGCGUUACUCGGAAUUACUGGGCGUAAAGCGUGCGUAGGUGGUUUGUUAAGUCUGAUGUGAAAGCCCUGGGCUCAACCUGGGAAUUGCAUUGGAUACUGGCAGGCUAGAGUGCGGUAGAGGAUGGCGGAAUUCCCGGUGUAGCAGUGAAAUGCGUAGAUAUCUGGAGGAACACCGGUGGCGAAGGCGGCAUCCUGGACCGAGAUUGACGCUGAUGCGCGAAAGCCAGGGGAGCAGACGGG
RNAcentral lists this ribosomal RNA (253 nucleotides) under uncultured bacterium. RNAcentral's name for it is "partial 16S ribosomal RNA". It matches the Rfam family "Bacterial small subunit ribosomal RNA", at positions 524 to 776 of the family's 1533-position model. The record is from RNAcentral.